AUUGAACGCUGGCGGCAGGCCUAACACAUGCAAGUCGAGCGGUAGCACAGAGAGCUUGCUCUCGGGUGACGAGCGGCGGACGGGUGAGUAAUGUCUGGGAAACUGCCUGAUGGAGGGGGAUAACUACUGGAAACGGUAGCUAAUACCGCAUAACGUCGCAAGACCAAAGUGGGGGACCUUCGGGCCUCAUGCCAUCAGAUGUGCCCAGAUGGGAUUAGCUAGUAGGUGAGGUAAUGGCUCACCUAGGCGACGAUCCCUAGCUGGUCUGAGAGGAUGACCAGCCACACUGGAACUGAGACACGGUCCAGACUCCUACGGGAGGCAGCAGUGGGGAAUAUUGCACAAUGGGCGCAAGCCUGAUGCAGCCAUGCCGCGUGUGUGAAGAAGGCCUUCGGGUUGUAAAGCACUUUCAGCGGGGAGGAAGGCGGUGAGGUUAAUAACCUCAUCGAUUGACGUUACCCGCAGAAGAAGCACCGGCUAACUCCGUGCCAGCAGCCGCGGUAAUACGGAGGGUGCAAGCGUUAAUCGGAAUUACUGGGCGUAAAGCGCACGCAGGCGGUCUGUCAAGUCGGAUGUGAAAUCCCCGGGCUCAACCUGGGAACUGCAUUCGAAACUGGCAGGCUAGAGUCUUGUAGAGGGGGGUAGAAUUCCAGGUGUAGCGGUGAAAUGCGUAGAGAUCUGGAGGAAUACCGGUGGCGAAGGCGGCCCCCUGGACAAAGACUGACGCUCAGGUGCGAAAGCGUGGGGAGCAAACAGGAUUAGAUACCCUGGUAGUCCACGCCGUAAACGAUGUCGAUUUGGAGGUUGUGCCCUUGAGGCGUGGCUUCCGGAGCUAACGCGUUAAAUCGACCGCCUGGGGAGUACGGCCGCAAGGUUAAAACUCAAAUGAAUUGACGGGGGCCCGCACAAGCGGUGGAGCAUGUGGUUUAAUUCGAUGCAACGCGAAGAACCUUACCUGGUCUUGACAUCCACAGAACUUUCCAGAGAUGGAUUGGUGCCUUCGGGAACUGUGAGACAGGUGCUGCAUGGCUGUCGUCAGCUCGUGUUGUGAAAUGUUGGGUUAAGUCCCGCAACGAGCGCAACCCUUAUCCUUUGUUGCCAGCGGUCCGGCCGGGAACUCAAAGGAGACUGCCAGUGAUAAACUGGAGGAAGGUGGGGAUGACGUCAAGUCAUCAUGGCCCUUACGACCAGGGCUACACACGUGCUACAAUGGCAUAUACAAAGAGAAGCGACCUCGCGAGAGCAAGCGGACCUCAUAAAGUAUGUCGUAGUCCGGAUUGGAGUCUGCAACUCGACUCCAUGAAGUCGGAAUCGCUAGUAAUCGUAGAUCAGAAUGCUACGGUGAAUACGUUCCCGGGCCU
RNAcentral lists this ribosomal RNA (1361 nucleotides) under uncultured bacterium. RNAcentral's name for it is "bacterial SSU rRNA". It matches the Rfam family "Bacterial small subunit ribosomal RNA", at positions 28 to 1381 of the family's 1533-position model. The record is from RNAcentral.